UGGGGAAUAUUGGGCAAUGGGCGAAAGCCUGACCCAGCAACGCCGCGUGAAGUAUGAAGGCCUUCGGGUUGUAAACUUCUUUGAUCAGGGAAGAAACAAAUGACGGUACCUGAAAAACAAGCCACGGCUAACUACGUGCCAGCAGCCGCGGUAAUACGUAGGUGGCGAGCGUUAUCCGGAUUUACUGGGUGUAAAGGGCGUGCAGGCGGGCUGAUAAGUCAGAUGUGAAAUCCCCGAGCUUAACUCGGGAACUGCAUCUGAUACUGUUGGUCUUGAGUGCUGGAGAGGAUAGUGGAAUUCCUAGUGUAGCGGUAAAAUGCGCAGAUAUUAGGAGGAACACCAGUGGCGAAGGCGGCUAUCUGGCCAUAAUCUGACGCUGAGGUACGAAAGCGUGGGUAGCAAACAGG
This 407-nucleotide ribosomal RNA is filed under the name Verrucomicrobiota bacterium. Its description in RNAcentral is "Verrucomicrobia bacterium partial 16S ribosomal RNA". It matches the Rfam family "Bacterial small subunit ribosomal RNA", at positions 355 to 776 of the family's 1533-position model. Lineage: Bacteria; Pseudomonadati; Verrucomicrobiota. The record is from RNAcentral.